UUUUACCGUCUAGAGAAACUUAUUGCAAUUCAUUUUUCCUCACUCCAGUAGUAAGAAUUACACCAAUUUGAAAAGAUAUGAAUGAGUAUCCUAAAAAAAGAAAAAGGAAGAUUCUACACCCUUCUCGUUAUUCAGAUUCCUCUGGAAUAAGCAGAAUUGCAGAUGGAUUCAAUGGAAUUUUCUCUGAUCAUUGUUACAGUGUCUGUUCUAUGAGACAGCCAGAUUUAAAAUAUUUUGACAACAAAGAUAAUGAUUCUGAUACCAAGACAUCAAAUGACUUGCCAAAAUUUGCAAAUGGAAUCAAGGCCAGAAACAGAAAUCAGAACUACCUGGUUCCCAGUCCUGUACUUAGAAUUCUAGACCACACUGCCUUUUCUACAGAAAAAUCUGCUGAUAUUGAAAUUUGUGAUGAAGAGUGUGACUCACCUGAAUCAGUCAACCAGCAGACCCAAGAGGAGAGUCCUAUAGAAGUUCACACUGCUGAAGAUGUUCCAAUUGCUGUAGAAGUGCAUGCGAUUUCUGACGAUUAUGAUAUAGAGACAGAAAACAAUUCCUCUGAGAGUCUCCAAGACCAAACUGAUGAAGAACCACCAGCUAAACUUUGUAAAAUUCUUGACAAGAGCCAAGUUUGAAUGUGACUGCCCAGUAGAAAUGGCCUUUACUGAGAGCUAAUAGCAGUGGCCUCUAUAAAUGUGAACUUUGUGAGUUUAACAGCAAAUAUUUUUCUGACUUAAAGCAGCAUAUGAUCCUGAAGCAUAAAUGUACUGAUUCAAAUGUGUGUCUAGUAUGUAAGGAAAGUUUCUCUACCAAUAUGCUUCUGAUAGAACAUGCCAAACUACAUGAAGAGGAUCCCUACUUUUGUAAAUACUGUGAUUAUAAGACAGUAAUUUUUGAGAACCUCAGUCAGCACAUUGCAGACACCCAUUUUAGUGAUCACCUCUAUUGGUGUGAACAGUGUGAUGUACAGUUCUCCUCAAGCAGUGAACUCUACCUACAUUUCCAGGAGCACAGCUGUGAUGAACAGUACUUGUGUCAGUUCUGUGAACAUGAAACUAAUGAUCCAGAAGACUUGCAUAGCCAUGUGGUAAAUGAGCAUGCAUGUAAAUUAAUAAAGUGAUAACAAUGGAGAACAUGGACAGUAUAGCCUCUUAAGCAAAAUUACCUUUGACAAAUGUAAAAACUUCUUUGUGUGGCAAGUAUGUGGUUUUCAGAGUAGAUGUCAUACAAAUGUUAACAGGCAUGUUGCUUUUGAACAUACUAAAAUUUUUCCUCAUGUUUGUGAUGACUUUGGGAAAGGCUUUUCAAGUAUGCUAGAAUAUUGCAAGCAUUUAAAUUCACAUUUAUCUGAAGGGAUUUAUUUAUGUCAAUAUUGUGAAUAUUCAACAGGACAAAUUGAAGAUCUUAAAAUUCAUCUAGAUUUCAAGCAUUCAGCUGACUUACCUCAUAAAUGUAGUGACUGCUUGAUGAGGUUUGGAAAUGAAAGGGAAUUAAUAACUCACCUUCCAUCCAGUCCAUGAGACAACUUGA
RNA transcript from Rhinopithecus roxellana (golden snub-nosed monkey), 1527 nucleotides. It is a transcript of the gene named zinc finger protein 639 pseudogene, with no coding region annotated. NCBI's taxonomy places the organism in Eukaryota, Metazoa, Chordata, Mammalia, Primates, Cercopithecidae. The transcript has a single exon. The record is from RefSeq and is a predicted model, not a curated record.